CCACGAAGCUGGAUUCGCUAGUAAUCGCGCAUCAGCCAUGGCGCGGUGAAUACGUUCCCGGGCCUUGUACACACCGCCCGUCAAGCCAUGAAAGCCGGGGGCGCCUGAGGUCCGUGACCGCGAGGGUCGGCCUAGGGUGAAACCGGUGAUUGGGGCUAAGUCGUAACAAGGUAGC
RNAcentral lists this ribosomal RNA (175 nucleotides) under uncultured bacterium. RNAcentral describes it as "partial 16S ribosomal RNA". It matches the Rfam family "Bacterial small subunit ribosomal RNA", at positions 1318 to 1500 of the family's 1533-position model. The record is from RNAcentral.